UACGUAGGGACCGAGCGUUGUCCGGAUUCAUUGGGCGUAAAGAGCUCGUAGGCGGCCACUCAAGUCGAAUGUGAAACCUCGAGGCUUAACCUCGAGCCUGCAUUCGAUACUGGGCGGCUAGAGUCUGGUAGGGGGAUCUGGAAUUCCUGGUGUAGCGGUGGAAUGCGCAGAUAUCAGGAGGAACACCGGUGGCGAAGGCGGUCUGCGUGGGCAGUAGCUGACACUGAGGCGCGACAGCGUGGGGAGCAAACAGG
Molecule: ribosomal RNA, 254 nt
Filed under: uncultured bacterium
Lineage: Bacteria
Description: partial 16S ribosomal RNA
Rfam family: Bacterial small subunit ribosomal RNA
Source: RNAcentral